GGUUGCGAUCAUACCAGCACUAAUGCACCGGAUCCCAUCAGAACUCCGCAGUUAAGCGUGCUUGGGCGAGAGUAGUACUAGGAUGGGUGACCCCCUGGGAAGUCCUCGUGUUGCAACCCCCUC
RNAcentral lists this ribosomal RNA (123 nucleotides) under Helianthus annuus (common sunflower). The record is from RNAcentral. Lineage: Eukaryota; Viridiplantae; Streptophyta; Magnoliopsida; Asterales; Asteraceae.